GACGAACGCUGGCGGCGUGCCUAAUACAUGCAAGUCGAACGGAGUGGGGACGGGUGAGUAACACGUGAGUAGCCUCCCAUCAGAGGGGAUGACACUUGGAAACAGGUGUUAAACCGAUACUGAUGGAUGGGCCGGCGAUGCAUUAGCUAUGUGGUGAGGUAAAGGCUCACCAAGGCAACGAUGCGUAACUGGUCUGAGAGGAUGAUCGGUCACACUGUGACGGAGACACGGUCAAGACUCCUACGGGAGGCAGCAGUAGGGAAUCUUGGACAAUGGACGAAAGUCUGACCGAGCCAUGCCGCGUGAGUGAAGAAGGUCUUCGGAUCGUAAAGCUCUUUUGUUUGAGAAGCGUUAUCAACCGAGUAAGCCACGGCUAACUACGUGCCAGCAGCCGCGGUAAUAC
This 403-nucleotide ribosomal RNA is filed under the name uncultured bacterium. Its description in RNAcentral is "partial 16S ribosomal RNA". It matches the Rfam family "Bacterial small subunit ribosomal RNA", at positions 28 to 526 of the family's 1533-position model. The record is from RNAcentral.